Molecule: ribosomal RNA, 275 nt
Filed under: uncultured Flavobacterium sp.
Lineage: Bacteria; Pseudomonadati; Bacteroidota; Flavobacteriia; Flavobacteriales; Flavobacteriaceae
Description: partial 16S ribosomal RNA
Rfam family: Bacterial small subunit ribosomal RNA
Source: RNAcentral
CCUACGGGGGGCAGCAGUGAGGAAUAUUGGUCAAUGGGCGCAAGCCUGAACCAGCCAUGCCGCGUGCAGGACGACGGCCCUAUGGGUUGUAAACUGCUUUUGUACGGGAAGAAACACCGGUUCGUGAACCGGCUUGACGGUACCGUAAGAAUAAGGAUCGGCUAACUCCGUGCCAGCAGCCGCGGUAAUACGGAGGAUCCAAGCGUUAUCCGGAAUCAUUGGGUUUAAAGGGUCCGUAGGCGGCCCUGUAAGUCAGUGGUGAAAUCUCCCCGCUC